UAAAAAUGUUAAUAUUUAAACUAAAGUAGUAUUAGUUAUGUUCUUUAAAUUUAAAGAUUUUGGCGGUAUUUUAGUCUAUUCAGAGGAACCUGUUCUGUAAUUGAUAGUCCACGAUUAACUUUACUUAAGUUUAAAAGUUUGUAUAUCGUUGUUUAUAGAAAAUUUUUUAAGAAAAAUAAUUUUUAAUAAAUUUAAUUAAAUUAUAAAUCAAAUCAAGGUGCAGUUUAUAUUUAAGUAGAAAUGGGUUACAAUAAAGUUAUUUAAAUGGAUUUAAAUUUUAAAAUAUUUAAUGAAGGAGGAUUUGAUAGUAAUUUUAUUAAAUUUAAUAAAGUGAUUAUAGCUCUAGAAUAUGU
This 353-nucleotide ribosomal RNA is filed under the name Dineutus americanus. RNAcentral's name for it is "partial 12S ribosomal RNA". The record is from RNAcentral. Lineage: Eukaryota; Metazoa; Arthropoda; Insecta; Coleoptera; Gyrinidae.